Cyprinus carpio (common carp) is the source of this 959-nucleotide long non-coding RNA. The record is from Ensembl. Lineage: Eukaryota; Metazoa; Chordata; Actinopteri; Cypriniformes; Cyprinidae.
CUUUUCCAUUGAAGUCACUGUUUCUGCUCUAUUCUCAAGAGCUCAGCGAGGUGGGAGCAGAUGCAGGAGUUCGUCUGAAGCUGAGAUAGUUCUUAAGAAGUAGACUUUUGCAAGAGAGUACUGAUUGGGUUCAGAUAAAGAGCAAAAGGAAUUUUUAGGUGAUACAAAGUUUCUGUGCUGGAUGCUCACAUGCAUCACAAAUGUGUUUGUGCAUAAACUUGUGUAUAAUCAUGAAGGACAAGAACUGAGAUGGAUCUCCCUGAUGUGCAGAAGUGAACAGCAGAGAUCCGUCAUGAACACAGACAGGGACUGGGAACGGGGACAGAGCUGGCUCGCAUCAACACAGGGCUUGGCCGUGUUCAAGGAAUUUCUCUCUUGUAAGGUAUUACUUACAAAGUUCCACAAAACAGCGGCCAAAUCAAUUCAUCCCUUAAGAGUCUUCAAUUCCUGUUACACACACCUGUUCCGGCUGAUCCAGGGAUGAAGGAGGGAUUGCAUUUGGAGGAGGAGAACAAGACUAAGUAGGUGUGUCUGCAGAGACUAAGCCCAGACAUUAAUGAGAAUAAGAUGGACUAUGAGAAAGAAACUCUGUCAUAUACACACUAAUGCUCAAAAGUUUGGGGUCGCUGCAUUAAUUAAUGUUUCUAUUCAGCAAAGAGGCAUUACAUUAAUCAAAAGUGACAGUAAAGACGUUUAUAAUGUUAAAACAGAUUAUUAUAUAAAUAUUGUUCUUUUGAACUUUCUAUUCAUCUGUGAAUCCUGAAAAAUAAUCAGUUUACACACAAAUAUUGUGCAGCACAACUGUGUUCAACAUUGAUAAUAAUCAGAAAUGUUUCUUGAGCAGCAAAUCAUCAUAUUAGAAUGAUUUCUGAAGAUCAUGUGACACUGAAGACUGGAGUAAUGAUGCUGAAAAUACAGCUGCGCAUCACAGAAAUAAAUUACACUUUAACAGAGAUUCA